This 467-nucleotide ribosomal RNA is filed under the name uncultured bacterium. Its description in RNAcentral is "partial 16S ribosomal RNA". It matches the Rfam family "Bacterial small subunit ribosomal RNA", at positions 29 to 507 of the family's 1533-position model. The record is from RNAcentral.
ACGCACGCUGGCGGCGUGCUUAACCCCUUCCAGUCGAACGGAAAGGCCCUGCUUUUGUGGGGUGCUCGAGUGGCGAACGGGUGAGUAACACGUGAGUAACCUGCCCUUGACUUUGGGAUAACUUCAGGAAACUGGGGCUAAUACCGGAUAGGAGCUCCUGCUGCAUGGUGGGGGUUGGAAAGUUUCGGCGGUUGGGGAUGGACUCGCGGCUUAUCAGCUUGUUGGUUGGGUAGUGGCUUACCAAGGCUUUGACGGGUAGCCGGCCUGAGAGGGUGACCGGCCACAAUGGGACUGAGAUACGGACCAGACUCCUACGGGAGGCAGCAGUGGGAAAUAUUGCACAAUGGGCGGAAGCCUGACGCAGCAACGCCGCGUGCGGGAUGACGGCCUUCGGGUUGUAAACCGCUUUCGCCUGUGACGAAGCGGGAGUGACGGUAAUGAGUAAAGAAGCACCGGCUAACUACGUG